Molecule: long non-coding RNA, 483 nt
Organism: Alexandromys fortis (reed vole)
Lineage: Eukaryota; Metazoa; Chordata; Mammalia; Rodentia; Cricetidae
Exons: 2
Source: RefSeq, a predicted model, not a curated record
GGGCGAACGCCAGCUCAGAGCAAGUUCAGUCCUGAAGGGUGGGGCGGCUUGCAGUGACGAGGUAAUGCAGUCACGGGUGUGUGAAACUUCUUUUAAAUGUUUUUAUUCGUCGUGAGGAUGUGAUGGGGAAGCUUUGGAAGAUUUAUGUGAAAACGUUCUGCGCAGCCACUGCCUCUGCGAUCACUUUAGAUCUGGCGAUGAAGCAGUCUGCUGAAAUCUAUCUUGCAGACCGAGUAUAUAAAAUACCAGUUAUAAUAUACAAAGUAUCCAUGGUGGGCAGAAAAGGGCGCUGGAUACUCUGGAGCUAGAGUUACAGGUCAUUGUGAACCACUUGAUGCUGGGAUCUGAACUUGGGUCCUUGGGAAAAGCAGGAAACAUUCUUAACUGAUUGAGCAACCUCUCCAACCUUCACAGAAGUUUUUUAAAAGCGUUUUGAAUGUUUUUAUUAGUACAUAUUAAUUAAAGUAACAAGGAAUUUCACUA